RNAcentral lists this ribosomal RNA (253 nucleotides) under uncultured bacterium. RNAcentral's name for it is "partial 16S ribosomal RNA". It matches the Rfam family "Bacterial small subunit ribosomal RNA", at positions 524 to 776 of the family's 1533-position model. The record is from RNAcentral.
UACGGGGGGGGCAAGCGUUGUUCGGAAUUACUGGGCGUAAAGGGCUCGUAGGUGGCCAACUAAGUCAGACGUGAAAUCCCUCAGCUUAACUGGGGAACUGCGUCUGAUACUGGAUGGCUUGAGAUUGGGAGAGGGAUGCGGAAUUCCAGGUGUAGCGGUGAAAUGCGUAGAUAUCUGGAGGAAUACCGGUGGCGAAGGCGGCAUCCUGGACCGGCAUUGACGCUGAGGAGCGAAAGCCAGGGGAGCAAACGGG